UAGGGAAUCUUCGGCAAUGGACGAAAGUCUGACCGAGCAACGCCGCGUGAGUGAAGAAGGUUUUCGGAUCGUAAAACUCUGUUGUUAGAGAAGAACAAGGACGUUAGUAACUGAACGUCCCCUGACGGUAUCUAACCAGAAAGCCACGGCUAACUACGUGCCAGCAGCCGCGGUAAUACGUAGGUGGCAAGCGUUGUCCGGAUUUAUUGGGCGUAAAGCGAGCGCAGGCGGUUUCUUAAGUCUGAUGUGAAAGCCCCCGGCUCAACCGGGGAGGGUCAUUGGAAACUGGGAGACUGGAGUGCAGAAGAGGAGAGUGUAAUUCCAGGUGUAGCGGUGAAAUGCGUAGAUAUAUGGAGGAACACCAGUGGCGAAGGCGGCUCUCUGGACUGUAACUGACGCUGAGGGUAGAAAGCGUGGGGAGCAAACAGG
This 429-nucleotide ribosomal RNA is filed under the name Gemmatimonadota bacterium. RNAcentral's name for it is "Gemmatimonadetes bacterium partial 16S ribosomal RNA". It matches the Rfam family "Bacterial small subunit ribosomal RNA", at positions 355 to 776 of the family's 1533-position model. The record is from RNAcentral. Lineage: Bacteria; Pseudomonadati; Gemmatimonadota.